GGUUCGACAACAAAAUACGAAGCUUACUCAAUUCUACCAUUAUUUCACGGGACUCUUCCUGUUCUUCCUAUUCUCCCUGUUCUUGCCAUCAGCACCGUCGUUUAAGUGCCAUUUCCGAGAGGGAUGUCUAUAUCGUCUUCUCGCUAGACUAUGCAAAUCUGCUCUGUGGUGCCGGAAGAAGACAGGAUGACUCAGUGUUCUCUCAAUUUUCGUUCGUAUUUUGAUGAUUCCUACAAGCAUGAAACCUUGAAACAGGAAAAUGUCGACUACUCCAUCUCCUAACAGGCUGGUGGUAAGCCUGAGUAACUCAGUAAGCAAUUGGAAUUUUUUAAUUAUGCAAAAAAGUUAAGAUCUUUAGGUCUCCUUAAUACUUAUUUGAUUGCUUUCAUACAGUUUUAGAUCUUUUUAUUUCAUGUUUUUGUCAAAUUAGCAGAUUAGUGAUGUUAAGUCUUCCUUCAAGGGUUUUCUAAAAGAACUAAGCCAAGUUUGUUAUUUUGGGGUUUCUCCAGUUAUUGCUAAGUGACUAUUUCUGAAGUUAGGAUUUGUGUACCUAUUGCAGAUUGCAAUUUAUUGAAUAUUCUAUAAUAUAUGUAACUAUUCUGUUCUAUGCCCUUAUACGCUGCCCAUUGAUUGGUUCAGUUUUCCUGAUUUACUAUCUUGGCGUUGGGUCUUUAAAACUAUGGUUAAAGGAUAUUUGCUUUUGUUAUCCCUUUCCAAAUCUUAGCCUACUUUCUCCAUGACUUUUGAUUGAACUACAGAAGGAUAACUAUUAACAACAUUUUUCCCUCAACUUAAACAUAUAAUAGUACAAAACUCUCACUAUACAAUGUUUGUGGUCAAGAAUGAUUCGCCAAAUAGUUCAAUUUGAUAAGGCUGAUCAGAAAAAAAAAAAAGGGGGGGGGGUUAAAGGACUGUAUUUACAUGAUCUAGAAUAAACUUUAAGAAGGUUGUGAUUCUACUUCUUCCUACAAAUUAAUAUCCUUCAGGUUAUCCUAAACACUUUCGUAUAUGCCCACGCCAUCAGGAACAAAUUACAGAGAAUAAGACUUUCUAGACCGUCUUGUUUUCCAGGAAAUAAAUUGGAUAAAUACAAAGAAGUAGAUAUGAACUUCUAAUAUUACCUAAAAGUUUUGGAUGGAUAAUUUUGCAGGUUCUGCUAGAAUUAAGAGAAAGAAAACUGUCAUACCUGCAAUUUGACUAGCAAUGGUCACAGUAACUGACUAAUGAUCCAUCUUGUGUGGAUCUAAAUUCUGCUUCUGCAAGUAUGCAACUGCUAUCACCACUAUUGUGCAUACAUAGUUUGAACAAAACACAAUGGGUUGAACCCACAGAAUCGUUCCAAGAUAUGCCUCUAUACAGAGUAGUAUUUCUCAUAAUCGUCUUUCUCAUCUUCAAGCCCAUAAUUUAGUAGCCUUUGACCUGUUUGGCUCUGCAUCCGGAAUUGAUCCUUCUAUGCAACAAUUGUUUGGAACUAGAGCAUUUGGAUUUUGGAGCAACCUCAUUAGAAUCAUUAAUUGCAACUUCUUUUUGAUGUUCAAAGUCUCUCGGCGGUAAAAUCUUGAAUAUAGCUCUAUUAUUUAGUUCCUUUUUACCAACUGCUGUUUUUGAAGUCAGUAUUUUUGUGCUUUGUAUUGGCAAUGUAAGAUUUCAUGCAUCAAAUUGUGAAGCCUUAAUUGGAGAACCCAAAAGGUAUUUAUGCUUUCUUGAGUUAUUUUCCUUUUCUGGAUUUUGACAAUAUAGCCAAAAUAUUCUUUCCUUUAAAAAGAGCUGCACAAUAUCUGGCUGAGUUAUAUUACACAUUGUUGCAGCGAAAUACUUCAGUUGUGAUUAUCUAUACUUACCAAAUUGAGUUAUCAAAAGUAAACAAGAAAGAAGUCUAUAGGGGGUCUUUUUUCUUUGUUCUUAUUGCUGGGGAGUUCUUUUGGUUGCUUAAAAAUUUGGCAAGAAAAUUUGGCCCCGAUAAAGUUACCACUAAAUUUGAGCAGAGGCCUCCAUCGUAUCCCCGAUUUGAAUAUGUUCUUUUGGUUAACUACAUCCGUGUCUCGGGAAAGUUUUUGUAUGAGAGACGUAUUGACUGUGAGCUUUAGUAAUGAGAUUCAGUCCCACAAUGGUGAUUAUUGCUUGAGUUUCUACCAGAGUAAUGCGACACAUGUUUUCCCAAAUGAAGGAUAAAUCUUUAUUUUAUUUUGAUAAUGAGUUUUGAGUUUUAAGAUGCUCACAAUUUAGUACCAAGAAACAGAAAACAUAUUCUUGGAAAUUCCUAAUCCAGAUAGGCCAACAUAGAGAUGGGACAUAUUAGAGCCACAUUCUAGGUGUUAGAGAUUGGAAUUUUAACUAUACUAUCUAUUUAUCUUCCUCUCUUUUUUUCCUGUUUUUAUUCUAUAUUCACCCUUCUGUAGUAUAAUAACUAUCAAGUGUAGUUUCUAUGUUGAAUCUGUUGAGGAGAUAUUGAAAAAGAUUUUGGGAUAAUGCAUCACCUUUAUUUGAUGUCUGCCAUCUAUUUGUCUUCUUUUUCUUUGUGAUCUACCUUUGUAACUUGCUUUAUUAUCUUCUCUUUUUUCCUUUUUGCAUUACUUUAUUAGUAAAUUAGCAUGUUUUUACUGAUUCUGAUUCUGGUUCUGGAUGCUCCCUUUCUCCUAGGAAUUGAAUUUAGUGAAAAGGUAUGAAAGCAAAAUCCAAGAAAUAGGAGUAAAAUUGCUUAAUUUUCAUAACUUCAAUAGUUAAAAAGCACGAUGAACCUGUUCAUUAUUUGGGGUUUGACUAUGUAACUUCAUUCAUAGGAUUUCAACUUCACCGUCAAGUCAGCAAAUGGAUUCAUGUUAGGGCACUUAAUUCCUAACUCUAUCUUGGUCAAUACUGGUGACCUUCUUGAUGUAAAUCCCUUUGUUUAAUUAGUGUUCAAAAUCUAAGUAAAUGAGUCAACAUUUGUUUAUGUAUCUUUAUAUGCAGUGGAAGAUUUUCGAUGUGUAUAUGCAAGACAUUGUACCUUAGAGCUAUGGUGAACACAAUUAAGGAUAUCAAUAGCUGCUACACUCAUGGUCUGUCACUUGAAACAAUUUGUCCCUCAUUUGUAUAAAGUGACAACAACCAUCCAAUUUAUAAC
RNA transcript from Lycium ferocissimum, 3103 nucleotides. RefSeq lists it as uncharacterized. The transcript is spliced from 3 exons. The record is from RefSeq and is a predicted model, not a curated record. NCBI's taxonomy places the organism in Eukaryota, Viridiplantae, Streptophyta, Magnoliopsida, Solanales, Solanaceae.